This 235-nucleotide ribosomal RNA is filed under the name uncultured bacterium. RNAcentral describes it as "partial 16S ribosomal RNA". It matches the Rfam family "Bacterial small subunit ribosomal RNA", at positions 100 to 334 of the family's 1533-position model. The record is from RNAcentral.
CGGGACGGGUGAGUAAUGUCUGGGAAACGUGCCUGAUGGAGGGGGAUAACUACUGGAAACGGUAGCUAAUACCGCAUAACGUCGCAAGACCAAAGAGGGGGACCGUUCGGGCCUCUUGCCAUCGGAUGUGCCCAGAUGGGAUUAGCUAGUAGGUGGGGUAACGGCUCACCUAGGCGACGAUCCCUAGCUGGUCUGAGAGGAUGACCAGCCACACUGGAACUGAGACACGGUCCAG